This is a long non-coding RNA of Cololabis saira (Pacific saury), 301 nucleotides long. RefSeq lists it as uncharacterized. The record is from RefSeq and is a predicted model, not a curated record. The transcript is spliced from 2 exons. NCBI's taxonomy places the organism in Eukaryota, Metazoa, Chordata, Actinopteri, Beloniformes, Belonidae.
UUUACUUUAAUAUCCAUUUAUAUUUUGAUUAUUGUGUGCAUACUUUGGGGAUAAUUGGUUAAUUAAUAACUCCAUCAGACCACGCCAUCACGUGGUCACGUGAUGCCUUUUGGUAGAGACGUGAGUUUUUUCAUGGUCUGUUGGUGCGUGCAAGCAGUAAUUGGAAGACAAAGAAGUGAAAUACAGAAGAAAUGGACUUCUAGCAACUCCUAACAUUCUGGUUGGAGGGGCAAACGUGUUCACGUUGGUCUUGGGCGUUUACAAGACAGAAAAUACUGUAAUAAAACGUUUACAACCAUCA